CCUACGGGCGGCUGCAGUGGGGAAUAUUGCGCAAUGGGGGGAACCCUGACGCAGCAACGCCGCGUGAAGGAAGAAGGCCUUCGGGUUGUAAACUUCUUUGAUGAGGGACGAAACAAAUGACGGUACCUCAGGAACAAGCCACGGCUAACUACGUGCCAGCAGCCGCGGUAAUACGUAGGUGGCGAGCGUUGUCCGGAAUUACUGGGUGUAAAGGGCGUGUAGGCGGGGAUGUAAGUCAGAUGUGAAAUACCGAGGCUUAACUUCGGGGGUGCAUCUGAAACUAUGUUUCUUGAGUACUGGAGAGGGAAGCGGAAUUCCUAGUGUAGCGGUGAAAUGCGUAGAUAUUAGGAGGAACACCAGUGGCGAAGGCGGCUUCCUGGACAGUAACUGACGCUGAGGCGCGAAAGCGUGGGUAGCGAACAGGAUUAGAUACCCCAGUAGUC
This 443-nucleotide ribosomal RNA is filed under the name uncultured Clostridium sp. Its description in RNAcentral is "bacterial SSU rRNA". It matches the Rfam family "Bacterial small subunit ribosomal RNA", at positions 338 to 795 of the family's 1533-position model. The record is from RNAcentral. Lineage: Bacteria; Bacillati; Bacillota; Clostridia; Eubacteriales; Clostridiaceae.